RNAcentral lists this ribosomal RNA (467 nucleotides) under uncultured bacterium. Its description in RNAcentral is "partial 16S ribosomal RNA". It matches the Rfam family "Bacterial small subunit ribosomal RNA", at positions 28 to 507 of the family's 1533-position model. The record is from RNAcentral.
GACGAACGCUGGCGGCGUGCUUAACACAUGCAAGUCGAACGGAAAGGCCUCUUUCGGGGGGUACUCGAGUGGCGAACGGGUGAGUAACACGUGAGUAACCUGCCCUUGACUUUGGGAUAACUUCAGGAAACUGGGGCUAAUACCGGAUAGGAGCUCCUGCUGCAUGGUGGGGGUUGGAAAGUUUCGGCGGUUGGGGAUGGACUCGCGGCUUAUCAGCUUGUUGGUGGGGUAGUGGCUUACCAAGGCUUUGACGGGUAGCCGGCCUGAGAGGGUGACCGGCCACAUUGGGACUGAGAUACGGCCCAGACUCCUACGGGAGGCAGCAGUGGGGAAUAUUGCACAGUGGGUGGAAGCCUGAUGCAGCAACGCCGUGUGCGGGAUGACGGCCUUCGGGUUGUAAACCGCUUUCGCUCAUGACGAAGCUUUGUGUGACGGUAGUGGGUAAAGAAGCACCGGCUAACUACGUG